This is a non-coding RNA of Coniochaeta sp. 2T2.1, 120 nucleotides long. The record is from the annotation of a GenBank genome assembly. Lineage: Eukaryota; Fungi; Ascomycota; Sordariomycetes; Coniochaetales; Coniochaetaceae.
GGUUCCGUGGUCCAGUGGUCAAGACUCAUCGUUGUGGAAAUACGAGACAUCCCCUCUCUCGGGAACACACUCGUACUCGCUACAUCCGAUGCAACCCGUGUUCGAUUCACGGCGGAGCCA